Molecule: ribosomal RNA, 401 nt
Filed under: Pycnococcus provasolii
Lineage: Eukaryota; Viridiplantae; Chlorophyta; Pseudoscourfieldiophyceae; Pseudoscourfieldiales; Pycnococcaceae
Description: partial Eukaryotic small subunit ribosomal RNA
Rfam family: Eukaryotic small subunit ribosomal RNA
Source: RNAcentral
AGUGUUCAAAGCAGGCCUUUGCCAUUGUAUGUGUUAGCAUGGGAUAAUGGAAUAGGACCUUGGUGCUAUUUUGUUGGUUUCGAACACCGAGGUAAUGAUUAAUAGGGAUAGUCAGGGGCACUCGUAUUCCGUAGAGAGAGGUGAAAUUCUUAGACCCACGGAAGACGCACUACUGCGAAAGCAUUUGCCAGGGAUGUUUUCACUGAUCAAGAACGAAAGUUAGGGGAUCGAAGAUGAUCAGAUACCGUCGUAGUCUUAACCAUAAACCAUGCCGACCAGGGAUUGGUGGGUGUCGUUUUUGACUCCAUCAGCACCUUUCGAGAAAUCAGAGUCUUUGGGUUCCGGGGGGAGUAUGGUCGCAAGGCUGCAACUUAAAGGAAUUGACGGAAGGGCACCACCAG